This is a non-coding RNA of Pelodiscus sinensis (Chinese soft-shelled turtle), 574 nucleotides long. The record is from RefSeq and is a predicted model, not a curated record. Lineage: Eukaryota; Metazoa; Chordata; Testudines; Trionychidae.
GGGAAAUUCUGUCUACAAUCUGACUGUCUGAGACCUGACAACACAGACCUAAGCAAAUCUAGCAAGGAGAGGCAGUUGUGAUCUGCAGUGAAAACUCUGACGGGAGGACUUGCUAUUCUUGACAAAUAACCUAAGGUGGUGCAGGCCAUCAACAAAGUCCUACUGCACAGGGUCAUCAGCCUCAGUGAUGUCAACCUCAUCAUUGCUGGCUUUUCUGACAUGGGCUUCCCCAACUGUGAGGGAUCUACUGACAGCACCCAUAUCCCUAUCCAGACGCCUGACCACUGGGCAUCUAUGUAUAUUCAUCGGAAGGGAUACUUCUCAGUGGUCCUGCAGGCUGUCGUAGACCACCAUGGGCAGUUCACAGAUAUAUACGUCAGCUGGUCGGGGAAGGCACACAACACCCAUAUCUUCUGCAACUUGAGCAUGUUCGAGAAGCUGCAUGCUGGAACUUUUUUCCCCAACCGCACCAUCAGGGCUGGGGAGGUGGAGAUGCCCAUGUGCAUGGUGGGGGACACAGCCAACCUUCCAUUUCCCUGGCUCAUGAAGCCCUAUACUGGCCACCUUGACCACU